This 397-nucleotide ribosomal RNA is filed under the name uncultured bacterium. Its description in RNAcentral is "bacterial SSU rRNA". It matches the Rfam family "Bacterial small subunit ribosomal RNA", at positions 121 to 507 of the family's 1533-position model. The record is from RNAcentral.
GGAACGUGCCCAGUCGGUGGGGGAUAACGUAGUAGAAAAUUACGCUAAUACCGCAUACGAUCUAAGGAUAGAAAGGCGGGGGAUCGCAAGACCUCGCGCGAGUUGGAGCCGGCCGAUAUCAGAUUAGGUAGUUGGUGAGGUAAAGGCUCACCAAGCCGACGAUCUGUAGCUGGUCUGAGAGGACGACCAGCCACACUGGAACUGAGACACGGUCCAGACUCCUACGGGAGGCAGCAGUGGGGAAUUUUGGACAAUGGACGCAAGUCUGAUCCAGCCAUUCCGCGUGCAGGACGAAGGCCUUCGGGUUGUAAACUGCUUUUGUACAGAACGAAAAGGUCUCUAUUAAUACUAGGGGCUCAUGACGGUACUGUAAGAAUAAGCACCGGCUAACUACGUG